This is a long non-coding RNA of Coffea eugenioides, 751 nucleotides long. RefSeq lists it as uncharacterized. The transcript is spliced from 3 exons. The record is from RefSeq and is a predicted model, not a curated record. Lineage: Eukaryota; Viridiplantae; Streptophyta; Magnoliopsida; Gentianales; Rubiaceae.
UCUUUCACUUUCCUUUGGGUUUUGUUAGUUCUCACUCUCUCAAUCCUCUCCCACUUUCAGCUCUCCUUUAUUCUCCCCAAUAAGCGAAAACUCUUUUGUGUUUCUUCUCUUUCACGCUGACCAAGGGUUCAAAUUUAGAAAUAACACAUGACAAAGGCUCCAGGUCGAUUGCCUAUAGUGGUAGGGGUUCACUCCACGAAUUUCGAUGAUAUUCAUGAGUUUGAUGAUGAUGAUCAAGCAGCUCUUAAUACUCGCCUUCAUGAUCCUGCUAGCAAGUAGUUUUGGUGUUUCUUCCUCGUCAAUUCAUGCCAUGAUGGGUAUGUUGCAGAGUCCACGCCUUAAUGUUCAAGCCAAUAGACAGGUUUUACAUAGUUUGGAAGGGCGCAUGACUACUUGUGAUACUCAGAUGCAGCGUUUGGAGUCUCAGUCUGGUUUUCUAGAUCGUGUGUUUUACUCACUCAAUCUUCUCUUGGCCACGCCUCUUCACAUUUCCUUAGGAGAGUAUUCUAUUUCUUUACCUUAAUCAUUAAGGACAAUGCUUACUUUAGGGGUGGAGGGGAAGUUUGGUGCAAGUUUCUUAUGUUUAUUUAGUUGUUUUAUUUAUGUUCUUUAUUUGUUGUGUUUACGGUUGUUUAAAGUUGGUUUAGAGUAAUGUAACAAUCAUGCCCAAUGCCUUGUACAAUGUGGUGGUGAUAUGUGUAAUCUUGAGUUAAUUGAUGCAAUGGAUGGAUCUAGUAAUGGAGUUGGCUCA